RNAcentral lists this ribosomal RNA (443 nucleotides) under uncultured bacterium. Its description in RNAcentral is "partial 16S ribosomal RNA". It matches the Rfam family "Bacterial small subunit ribosomal RNA", at positions 338 to 795 of the family's 1533-position model. The record is from RNAcentral.
CCUACGGGAGGCAGCAGUGGGGAAUAUUGGGCAAUGGGCGCAAGCCUGACCCAGCAACGCCGCGUGAAGGAAGAAGGCUUUCGGGUUGUAAACUUCUUUUCUCAGGGACGAAGCAAGUGACGGUACCUGAGGAAUAAGCCACGGCUAACUACGUGCCAGCAGCCGCGGUAAUACGUAGGUGGCAAGCGUUAUCCGGAUUUACUGGGUGCAAAGGGCGUGUAGGCGGGGACGCAAGUCAGAUGUGAAACCCACGGGCUCAACCUGUGGCCUGCAUUGGAAACUGUGUUUCGUGAGUGCGGGAGAGGCAGACGGAAUUCCGGGUGUAGCGGUGAAAUGCGUAGAUAUUAGGAGGAACACCAGUGGCGAAGGCGGUCUGCUGGACAGCAACUGACGCUGAGGCGCGAAAGCGUGGGGAGCAAACAGGAUUAGAUACCCUUGUAGUC